This is a small nucleolar RNA of Suncus etruscus (white-toothed pygmy shrew), 128 nucleotides long. RefSeq annotates it as small nucleolar RNA SNORA49. The record is from RefSeq and is a predicted model, not a curated record. NCBI's taxonomy places the organism in Eukaryota, Metazoa, Chordata, Mammalia, Eulipotyphla, Soricidae. The transcript has a single exon.
CUCCCUCAACCUUACUCCAGGGGUUUUUGCCUGUAGAGCGCCCUGGCAUUACCUGAGGGUACAGGAAAAGCAUAUUUAUCUCCCCAGGAAGAUUGCAUUCGUUGGGGCAUACAAGGUGAGCUGACAGU